RNAcentral lists this ribosomal RNA (497 nucleotides) under uncultured bacterium. Its description in RNAcentral is "partial 16S ribosomal RNA". It matches the Rfam family "Bacterial small subunit ribosomal RNA", at positions 28 to 507 of the family's 1533-position model. The record is from RNAcentral.
GAUGAACGCUGGCGGCGUGCCUAACACAUGCCAGUCGAACGGAAGCACGAGGAGCUUGCUCUCUUACCGUUAGCGACUGACGGACGGGUGACGCGUGGAUCACCUCCUUCUAUUACUUGGAUGACUACGUGGAACCGCUGCUGCUACCAGAGAAUAUAUCCAACCGCAUGGUUCAAUAGAUAAUGACAGCUUUCGCGUCUCUUUUAGCCGGAUCCGGGCCGGAGUAGUUAGUUGGUAAGGGAACGGCUUAGCAAGGAGACGAAGCGUAGCCGACCUGAGAGGGUGAUCGGCCACACUGGAACUGAGACACGGUCCAGACUCCUAAGGGAGGCAGCAGUAGGGAAUCUUACGCAAUGGGCGAAAGCCUGACGGAGCAACGCCGCGUGAGUGAUGAAGGUCUUCGGAUUGUAAAACCCUGUUAUUAGGGAAGAAAAAAUGUGUAAUUAUAUAUGGACGUCCUGACGGUACCCAAACAGAAAGCCACGGCUAACUACGUG